GGAUCUAAACUGACCCUGAGGGAGGAGACUCAUCCCCAAUGGCGUCCAAGCCUGAUAUUGCCUAUCUAGCUACCUAACAUUCGCCUCUACAAGAACCAAAGGCUCUGAGAAGCAUUUACACCAACUGAGAGGGAUCAUUCACCAACUUUCGGUGAGGGAUGGAGAGCCGAUCUUGAUCAGUGGCCAGAAGAUGGAUCUGUUGCAGCCUGCUCCUGGGUCGUAUAAAGACACCUUUGUGGAAAACAGCUUCAUAGAGCCUGACCCCCUCCCUCCUGUAACUGGUGUGGUAGAUGAAAGAGACACAGCUCUCAAUGUGGCUAUCAGAAUACUGGAACAACAGGACCUAAGGAUGAUGGAAGUUCCCCAGAAUCUUGUGCUGGGAAAAGAAAGGGCACCAGCCAGAGGACGAACUUUCUUUGGCGAGGCAAUUUCCAAUUUAAAGAUGAGACUAAAACCCAGAAAGUGACGAGACAAUGUUAGGUGUGAUGGCGUCUUACCCAGGUCUGUUCAUGUGUACACACCCUUGGCAUUUAAGCUAUGAUAGAACUUCAGGGCCCCGAUGACAGACUUGAGGGCUUUGCUGGGUCUCUAUCCCCAGUGUCCCAAUGUGGCCUCAUUGAAUAAACCUCCUCCUCCUGUUUUCU
This 644-nucleotide long non-coding RNA is filed under the name Mus spretus (western wild mouse). Its description in RNAcentral is "RIKEN cDNA 1700021P04 gene (ENSMSPG00010036683.1)". The record is from RNAcentral. Lineage: Eukaryota; Metazoa; Chordata; Mammalia; Rodentia; Muridae.